UUUGAACAUGUAAAAAUUGUCCUAUGAUCUAUAUUGUAUAGUUUAAUAUUACAUAAUAUUAUGUAUUUUUUAGAUUUUGGUAUUUGAGUUUAGGGUUUAUAUUUGGGUUAGGGUUUAGUGAUUAGGGUUUAGGGUUUAGUAUUUAGAAGGUGAGAAGGUAUGGUUGGGGUCAUCAUUAACUUCUUCCAUGCAAUUGUGGACAUUUCAUAAUUUCACCAAUGUGUACUAUGUUAUUUAUUUGUUCCAUUCUAUUUGGGUUUAGAGUUUAUAUUUGGGUUUAAGGUUUACUGAUUAGAGUUUAGUAUUUAGGGGUUGGGGUUGGAGUAUGUUUAGUAUUUAGGGAUUGUAGGUCGGGUUAUAAUAGUAUACUAUUUCGGUGAUAUGGAGUAGUGUAUGUAAUCAAUAAACAUAUACGUGAAUGACUCCUCUUUUUUUCCGAAUAUUUUUUGUGUGCUCUUGACCUUAUAUUCUAUUGACCACGUUAUUUUCUUUCUCACAUUUUUAUUUUUACAAGAAAUUCUGGUAUGUCAUAUUACUAAAAGAUUUACUAUAUGCGGUAAAUAAAUGCAUGACGUUGGUGUUCUUAUGUGAUUUAAUUGUGAAUAGUGGAGCUUUUAUACUAUCUGUGUAUUGAUGUCAUCUAUUACCUCUCUCUGUAACCUAUUACUUGGAAACGUGAAGGACAUAACCGGACUAAAUGUGUGUAUAAUGUUAUUGAUUUAAUAACGUCAAAAUCAUGUCUAUAUACUUAAGAUUGACUCAGAAAUUAGCUAGUUCGCCAAUUCUCCCUUUCCAAAACAUAUAAAUUCCAUACAAACGCUGAUGCAAACGAGUGAGAGACCAUACAAACAGGUAAAAGUAGGGAAUCAUAUCUCGAUCAAUCAUCAAUGCAAUGAAACAUUUAGAUCACCGUUAACUAACUAAUACUAAGUCAUAGUAGAAAAGUUUGAAAUAUCAGAAAGAUGUCAUCUAACAAAACUAUUCUAUGUCAUUUAAUCAAAAUGUUUUUUUUUUUAAUGAAAAGUUUUAAGUAACAGACAGUAAAGAACUAGUUCCAUCGAAUCUAAUUUUGUUAAUAUAAAAUUAUCUUUUGAUUUACACAUAAAUAAUUUGACAUAUAUGUAGAAUGAUUAAAAUUGUUGAGGUUUGGUCUCCAGUUCAUCUUAGGAUCAUCUCUGGUUUACAGAGGAAGAGACGUGACGUUGAAGAGGAAGGCCGAGAGCUGGUCAAGCUCUUGUACACCAAACACUCUAGGUAAACAAGCGGGUUUCAAGUGGAAGAAGUAUUUGAAAGUUGCUGGAUGGGAUAGAGUCUUUUGGUCUAUAGUUUACUUGGUGCUUGAGUCACGUGUUGUCACACGUGAGAAGCCUUUUCUGUUAAAGAGAACCAGAGAGAGAGUUAAGCUUCUUCAAGACUUCUUCAUGGCGAUUCUAGAGAGAGAGAUAAGAGAGAUCUAAAGAGAGUGAGGAGGUUUCAUUCUCGGGUUCUAGGGAUUCUUUUCUUAUUCUUUUCUUCUUGUAAGCAAACCGGGUUGUGGUUUGCGGGUGAGCGAUAGCUUGUACACACCACCACCGGAGGUAGUUUCCGGUGACAUAUAGUGGAGGCAGUUGGGGAGCAAGAGUUCUCCCCUCCGGAUGUAACCGUUCUUUAACAUGGUGAACCGGGUGAACAUAUCAAUGUGCACAAGUGUUUAUAGCUACGAAUCUGUGAAUCAGGAUUAGUGGAAUCUGGUUUGAUUCCUCAACAAGUGGUAUCAGAGCCGUGGUUCGACGAUUCACAAGUUCAAUCGACUCACGGAGUUCAUGAUUUCUCGAGGUGAAGAAAUAUGAGGAUGAAUCAAGAUUCGUCGAAGUCGGAGAUGGAAGCGGUAUGUUCUUUAUCGGCUUCAAUGGUGUAUCCGACGAGCAAAAGGAAGUUCGUCAGUGAUGGCGGUAUCUGAUUCUCUGAAGAGGUUUAAGUUAACAUCUAUGUCGCAAGUUCAUAAACAAGAAGGAUCGGAGAAAUCUUUUGGUUCUGCAUUAUCGAAAUCUGGAGGAAGAAAGGUUAUGUGGCUGAUCUUGGAGUGGUUGUUUAUGGAAUUGACGGGAAGGAUGUGGUGAAGAAUAAAGUUGAGAAAAUCGGUUUCUGGUUUUCUAGAGGAUCAAAGGUUCGGCGACUUCCAGUGGUUCGAUGAGUUUCUACGGUUGAGUGAUUCACUGCGGUUCUGUGGUUUACAAAGACGGUGUGGAUUCUAAGGAUCAAAGCAUCUGGAUGGUUGGGUCUUAGUAUCGACAAAGGGAGGUGCUAUUGUAGGAUUAAGCUCACCAGGAAUGGUGGAAGAAAGAUCACCAGUAAAGUUAAUCAGAAGAGAUGGUUCCAGGUUUAAUGGAAUCAUGAAUACUGUACGUUAGGGUUCUCUUGGGCUCGAUACUAUGCAACGAUGCAUGUUGUGGUUUAAAGAAGCUGCAGGAGGAAUCGUUACGAGAACGAGAAGGGAUAGUUUCAGAGAAUAGUUCAAGACAGUGGACACAAGAAGAGGUUCUUGUAUCUGUGGCGUUGAAACCGUUUCGAGAUUGAUGGAGGGUGAAUGUAUCUUCAAGUACAGUUCAGUUCAGGUUCGAAGUAUGAGUUAUGAACAUGACUCAGGUAAACCAGAAUCGUGAAAACAUCUCUCAAGACUCAAAUCUUGUAGACUGACAGAGUGAUCCCGCUGCAAUCACAAGAGAAUUUGUGAUAUAGUAAGCUUUGCACCACAUGUAUUUCUAUUGAAUCUCUUCCGCGUUAGAGCAUGGAGUUUAGUCUUCAGGUUUGGUUGAAGAACAACAAUGGAACUGAUAGAUUCUGGAUUCUGAGGGACGCCUUGGGAGGUUGAAUCUACAUUAAAUUGUCUGUUGAAAUAUCAGGGUAAAGGUUUAGAUUCAAGUGUAUGUGAAGUUAUCUGGGUCUUGGUCAGGUUGAGUAUAAGAUCAAGACAGUAAGUGGCUGCGAAGUUUGACAGUUUAUGGGAAGAUUUGCGAUGGUUUUGUCUACAUGUUAAGUCUCUGGAAUUUAGUUGGAUGAUGCGAUUAUCAAGUUUUAAAAGGUGGAUCAUCAAGAAGCUUGGAGCAGCAGGAGAAGGUUCAAGGGAAAAGUGGAUCAAUGCUGCAACCUUCAGAAUAUGAGUCAAGGCUCUGAAGGAAGCGUGUACAGUCUUCAAAGUCACAAGGAAACUGAAACUGGUUAAAGCUUCUGUAGAAGAAGACUGUGUGUGCAACGACUGGUCGUAUGCUGAAUCAGAUGGGUCAGUUUGGUAACUGGGAAAGAAGCAUCUGAAGUAUUGAAAGAAGCUGAGUCAGCUCAAGGUGGAGUUCUUAGCUCAAGGUGGUGCUCUAAACUCAGCUAGAGUUCUCAGUUGAUUAUAGAAGCGUUUCAGAUAUGAAAGUGAGGACUUUGAUGGUGACUGAGACAAGGCAAUGAUGAAGUUCUUGGUGGCACAUGAAGAGGUCGUGUGAUAAGGCAUAUGAGUGCCAGUCUUGUUGAAACUAGGAGAAGGAGUCUGGUUUCUGGUAUAUAUGGCUCAGGUAAAAGAGUCAAGGAUACCUACUGUGCCUGGUUAUUAGGAGACCUAGACAAUGGAGGUCCUAAGGCACAAUCUCAGUUUGAUACAAGCAAAGGAAAAUGCUUGUGUAACUUGAAUUACCAGAAAAGUCUAUUGAGUUAAAUAUGAGGUUUAAAAGGUUCUAAAGGGAAGCAGCAGGGAAGUCUUCAGGUUGUAUCGAAGAAGAUACAUAAAAGGUUCUUUGACAAGUUUCAAAAGAAGCAUCGGAGGAUCUGAGUAGUGAAGCUCAAAGUAAGCUGAAGAUUCAAGGAGAACUGUAUGUCUGAGUUCAAGUUACUGAUAAGAAGUUCCCAGUAAAAGAAAGUGAAGCUGAGGUUAGAAUAACGUGAAGCUUCAGGGUAUUGUUCCAGGGGGAGCGCAUGAUAUUACAGAGUUUGUAAUGUAUUCAAAGGGGAAUUGUCUUCUAGGUGGAGCUAUGUUUUCAGAAGGAACCUGGUAUUAUCAAAUCUCAAGGAGAUAUCUGAUGGAUCAGAUGAUAGAUUAAUGGUUUAAGAGGCUACAUUUUUGUUUUGUAUGAGAAGUUUCUCAGGAUACCUCGCAAUGGACUGAGCUUUGGUGGUAUGUAUCGAAAGUCUUCCUAAUGUUGAGUGUUAGGCGGCGUGUCCUGUAGGUGUAAACAGCGGUACAUAAAGGUUCUGUUGACUUUGUUUGAGGAGAGAUCAAAGAUCAUUUUGGUUUCUGGUCUGAGGCGAAGAUUGGUGAAGAAUCAGUCUGAGUUUUGCACAAAUCAGAAUAUAAGCCGGCUCUGGAGUUAAAUAAACUCAAGGUUGCUGAAACGUGGAAGGUUGCUGAAACGUGGAAGGUUGCAAGGUUUAUGCAACUGAUAUAAAUUCCUAGAAAGGGUUAUGGAUGCAGCAGAUGUCGAACUGCAUUUUUUCUGAGACAGCAACUUCAGGAGUUAUGGGUUGUUUGUGCUUGCAUCAAGAAGAAAGUUUAAGUAAUCUUCUCAGAGAAAGACACUUGCAGGUUAUGGUCAAGUGAAAGCUCGUAAAUUGCAUGCUGGAGAAAAUUGUUGAGCUUAUAGAGGCUAUGGCUCAGGUCUGAGAAAGGUUAAGAUGCAAAGGACCAAAGGACCAAAGGUUUGGUGGAGUUUGCACACUGGUGAAUGUGUUGCGGGUCUGUUACAGAUUGAGGAUCACGUCGUGAGCUCAAGUUUAAUGUGAAAGAAUCUGUAAAGGAUAUCUCUGAAGCAUAUCAACUUCGAUGGUGAGAGACGUGGCUAAAGGUUUCUGGUAGUGAGUUAAAAUCUGCUAGUACAUGUCUGUUUGUUCAGUAGGAUCGAAGUCGGUUUUGGUAUCGAGUGUGUUCACAUCGAGGUGGAGUUGUGAAGUGUGUUAUGUCGACAUUCAACAUGGAUAGAAGUUGGAUUCAAGGCUGAAUGGCAAAAACAGAGGUUGAAUUAAGAGAUGCUCGGGAUUAUGAAGCAUGUCUGAUUCGGUUCACUGCAUUGUUUAAAGUCGGUCAAGAGUUUGGACUCAAUGCGCAUGAGGAACUCUUAGAGGCUAGCAACAGAAACAAGAUGGCAAAGUGAUAAGUUUGUUUUUAAUCACUGAAACAGGUUUAUGAUUAGAACAGAAAUCAUAAAGGAGACUGUGUGAUUAAUAAGCUCAUGAGCGGUUUAGCUUAUGGAAAUUUCUGUUGGUCUGUAAAAUGUAUUAUCUCUUGGUAUUAACUGUUGUUUUGAGAUGAUUUUACAGGGAAUUAAAGUAGCUUCAAGGAAGUCAGGCUAAUGUGAUUCAAGUUUGCACUUUAUUGAAAUGAGAGGAGACUAAAGACUUGAACUCACUGCAGGAGUUUAUUUCAGGAGUCAAAACUUAUUUGAUGGUUAAGUGCAGGACUGCCUACAAGUUGAAAUGAGGAUCAAUGGGAGUUUUGGCUGACACAAGGAUGAGUGUAGCCAAGUGAAAACUCAUAGACAUGGUUAUUCGUUUGUUGGUUCAGAAGCGUAGUCUAACCUUACUUCUGAAAUUCAAAAAGUGUUUGUCUAGUUCAUUGAUGUUACUAACGAAACUUGUGCUAUAUGAGUCAGACUUAUGCAGGUGUGUAUAAGACUGAUAUGGUGUGUGCAAAGCUAGAAGUUGAAACUGGAAGUUUCAGGAGGCUCCAAAGAUGAGAGACAGAGGCUGAAGAUUCUCUGGUCAUGAGUUGCGGUUCCGGCACGAACUAGUGUUGGAGGCUUCGGUGAAGGCGUUUAUCGGAGGAAUUCAAAAUCCUUAAUUCAGAAGUCAUGAUUGAAGGAAGAGGUCAUCUGAGAUUGAGUUGAAACUAGACCAAGGUGGAGAAUGUUGAGGUUUGGUCUCCGGUUCAUCUUAGGAUCAUCUCUGGUUUACAGAGGAAGAGGCGUGACAUUGAAGAGGAAGGCCGAGAGCUGGUCAAGCUCUUGUACAUCAAACAUUCUAGUGAACAAGCGGGUUUCAAGUGGAAGAAGUAUUUGAAAGCUGCUGGAUGGGAUAGAGUCUUUUGGUCUAUAGUUUACUUGGUGCUUGAGUCACGUGUUGUCACACGUGAGAAGCCUCUUCUGUUAAAGAGAACCAGAGAGAUUGACGACGUUAACAGAGAGAGAGAGAGAGAGAGAGAGAGAGUUGAGUUUCUUCAAGACUUCUUCAAUGGCGAUUCUUGAGAGAGAGAUAAGAGAGAUCUAGAGAGAGUGAGGAGGUUUCAUUCUCGGGUCCUAGGGAUUCUUUUCUUAUUCUUUUCUUCUUGUAAGCAAACCGGGUUGUGGUUUGCGGGUGAGCGAUAGCUUGUACACACCACCACCAGAGGUAGUUUCCGGUGACAUAUAGUGGAGGCAGUUGGGCAGCAAGAGUUCUCCCCUCCGGAUGUAACCGUUCUUUAAUACGGUGAACCGGGUGAACAUAUCGAUGUGCACAAGUGUUUAUAGCUACGAAUCUGUGAAUCAGGAUUAGUGGAAUCUGGUUUGAUUCAGUGGAAUCUGGUUUGAUUCCUCAACAAAAAUUAUGAAUGCUUUGUCCUUUUCAGUUUGACAUUUAAAUAUCUUCCUUAUGUAACAUUCUUUUGCUAACGCUAUCUACAUUUUUAUGCUAUGGAUCGAACGUGAACAAGAACAUUAUUUUUUGAA
Long non-coding RNA from Brassica napus (rape), 6656 nucleotides. RefSeq lists it as uncharacterized. The record is from RefSeq and is a predicted model, not a curated record. NCBI's taxonomy places the organism in Eukaryota, Viridiplantae, Streptophyta, Magnoliopsida, Brassicales, Brassicaceae. The transcript has 2 exons.